Molecule: ribosomal RNA, 373 nt
Filed under: uncultured bacterium
Lineage: Bacteria
Description: bacterial SSU rRNA
Rfam family: Bacterial small subunit ribosomal RNA
Source: RNAcentral
UACGGAGGGUGCAAGCGUUAUCCGGAAUCACUGGGUUUAAAGGGUGCGUAGGCUGUUAGAUAAGUCAGUUGUGAAAUUCCCCGGCUUAACCGGGUGGACUGCGAUUGAUACUGUUUAACUUGAAUGAGGUUGAGGUAGGCGGAAUGUGGCAUGUAGCGGUGAAAUGCUUAGAUAUGCCAUAGAACACCGAUUGCGAAGGCAGCUUGCUGGGCCUUCAUUGACGCUGAGGCACGAAAGCGUGGGGAGCAAACAGGAUUAGAUACCCUGGUAGUCCACGCCCUAAACGAUGUUUACUUGCUGUUUGUCCUUCGGGAUGAGUGGCGAAGCGAAAGCGCUAAGUAAACCACCUGGGGAGUACGCCGGCAACGGUGAA